CUUCCAUGAAGCUGGAAUUGCUAGUAAUGGCAGGUCAGCAUACUGCCGUGAAUACGUUCCCGGGCCCUUGUACACACCGCCCGUCACACCAUGGGAGUCGGAAAUGCCCGAAGUCUGUGACCUAACCGAGAGGGAGGAGCAGCCGAAGGCAGGUCUGAUGACUGGGGUGAAGUCGUAACAAGGUAGC
This 187-nucleotide ribosomal RNA is filed under the name uncultured bacterium. Its description in RNAcentral is "partial 16S ribosomal RNA". It matches the Rfam family "Bacterial small subunit ribosomal RNA", at positions 1315 to 1500 of the family's 1533-position model. The record is from RNAcentral.